RNAcentral lists this ribosomal RNA (496 nucleotides) under uncultured bacterium. Its description in RNAcentral is "partial 16S ribosomal RNA". It matches the Rfam family "Bacterial small subunit ribosomal RNA", at positions 29 to 507 of the family's 1533-position model. The record is from RNAcentral.
AUGAACGCUGGCGGCGUGCCUAAUACCUGCAAGUCGCGCGAACGGACGAGAAGCUUGCUUUUCUGAUGUUAGCGGCGGACGGGUGAGUAACACGUGGAUAACCUACCUAUAAGACUGGGAUAACUUCGGGAAACCGGAGCUAAUACCGGAUAAUAUUUUGAACCGCAUGGUUCAAAAGUGAAAGACGGUCUUGCUGUCACUUAUAGAUGGAUCCGCGCUGCAUUAGCUAGUUGGUAAGGUAACGGCUUACCAAGGCAACGAUGCAUAGCCGACCUGAGAGGGUGAUCGGCCACACUGGAACUGAGACACGGUCCAGACUCCUACGGGAGGCAGCAGUAGGGAAUCUUCCGCAAUGGGCGAAAGCCUGACGGAGCAACGCCGCGUGAGUGAUGAAGGUCUUCGGAUCGUAAAACUCUGUUAUUAGGGAAGAACAUAUGUGUAAGUAACUGCGCACAUCUUGACGGUACCUAAUCAGAAAGCCACGGCUAACUACGUG